Stomoxys calcitrans (stable fly) is the source of this 1069-nucleotide long non-coding RNA. RefSeq lists it as uncharacterized. The transcript is spliced from 4 exons. The record is from RefSeq and is a predicted model, not a curated record. Lineage: Eukaryota; Metazoa; Arthropoda; Insecta; Diptera; Muscidae.
CGGCUAUUCAAUGAAUCGGGUGUUCGUAUUGUAUCGUGUGCAUUUUUCUAUAAACUUCGCUUUGCAUUAAAAUACGAAAAUGAAAUGGAAGGGGAGAGGGUAUGACAGCCGCCUAACAAAUAAAUGCAACUGUUCCUUUCUCAAUUACUCCUUUAGACUGUGAGGAAUGCCCACAGAUGUGUAUAAAUGAAAUAAAUGCAGCCAUAAGGUUUUUGGAGCAUGAACUAAAACUGGAAUUGAAUGAAAAGAGAAUAUAAAUAAAAAACAUAACCCAGAAAAAGUUUUUCAAAAUAAAUAAAACAAAAAACCAAAAACAUGAGAAGGGAAUUGGAAGCGUCAAUAAAAAAAAAAAACCAAAGACUUCAUGCACACCAGAAGAGGGAUUUGAAACCACAACAAUAAAAGGCAAGGAAUAGAGAAAACUAAAAACAAUAAACCAAAAGCCAACUAAAGAACAUUUGAAUGGUUCAAAUGCAAGACAGAGAAUAAAACGAAGACAAACAAAGAACAAAAACGAAAGAGAAGAAGAAAUAAAAUAGAAAAUAACCAAAAAAAAAAAAUAUAUUAUGGAAAUAAAAACGAAUAACAACAACUACAACAAUAGACUGAAUUAGAGUCCAAAUAUUUUUAAAUGUAAAACGCAUCAUCAACGCAGCAUUACAAUAAAACAACAACCAUUACAACAACAACAUCAAUUACUUUAAUAGUAAUAUAUAGACAAACUAAACAAAAGAAAUUUAAGCCAUACAUUCAAUUCCAUAUUGUAGUCAAAAUAUUCAGUAACGGCAACAGCAACUUGAAAAAUUGCUGCUAACCACUCAACAACAACAACAACGUCAAAUAAAUGCAAUUAAUUUAAACAUAUCAUAAUCUAAUUACAAUUUAUAUUAAUUUAACAACAACAACAACAACAACCAAUACAACAACAAAAAUAUAAAUAAAAGAAUUGCAUUUAAAUAUUUAUUCAAAGAAAAUAUUGAAAAAUCAAAACCCUAAGAAAGAAGAAAACAAGCAAUAUUACCACAAUUCUCAAUUCUUAGUAUCAGAAAUACACUUUAUACAACAACAA